This 593-nucleotide ribosomal RNA is filed under the name Hericium erinaceus (lion's mane mushroom). Its description in RNAcentral is "eukaryotic LSU rRNA". It matches the Rfam family "Eukaryotic large subunit ribosomal RNA", at positions 58 to 634 of the family's 3401-position model. The record is from RNAcentral. Lineage: Eukaryota; Fungi; Basidiomycota; Agaricomycetes; Russulales; Hericiaceae.
AAAGAAACUAACAAGGAUUCCCUAGUAACUGCGAGUGAAGCGGGAAAAGCUCAAUUUAAAAUCUGGCGGUCUUUGACCGUCCGAGUUGUAGUCUGGAGAAGUGCUUUCCGCGCUGGACCGUGUACAAGUCUCCUGGAAUGGAGCGUCAUAGAGGGUGAGAAUCCCGUCUUUGACACGGACUACCAGUGCUCUGUGAUGCGCUCUCAAAGAGUCGAGUUGUUUGGGAAUGCAGCUCAAAAUGGGUGGUGAAUUCCAUCUAAAGCUAAAUAUUGGCGAGAGACCGAUAGCGAACAAGUACCGUGAGGGAAAGAUGAAAAGCACUUUGGAAAGAGAGUUAAACAGUACGUGAAAUUGUUGAAAGGGAAACGCUUGAAGUCAGUCGCGUCCGCCAGAACUCAGCCUUGCAAUCUUGCCUGGUGUACUUUCUGGUGGACGGGCCAGCAUCAAUUUCGACUGCCGGACAAGGGCUGGGGGAAUGUGGCACCUUCGGGUGUGUUAUAGCCUCCAGUCGUAUACGGUGAUUGGGAUUGAGGAAUUCAGCAUGCCUUUAUGGUCGGGGUUCGCCCACGUUCAUGCUUAGGAUGCUGGCGUAA